AUAAUAGUAACGUUUUUUUUGUUAUCGUAGUUGAAUAAAAAGAUAACGCUGUCAAAAAAAAAAAAAAGAGGACAAGAGAAGUUUGGAUGGAUUAAAACAAAAAAAAAAUUAAAAAAAAAUAAUUGUGUAUCAUGUAAUAUGGGCAAACAUGUCAUUAUUAUAGAAUAUACAUAGAAUAUUAUAGUUUUAUGGUUAGAAUAGCUAGUUAGUUAAUUAAAGUUUUUUUUUUGGUUAUACACUCAAAU
Molecule: long non-coding RNA, 245 nt
Filed under: Arabidopsis lyrata
Lineage: Eukaryota; Viridiplantae; Streptophyta; Magnoliopsida; Brassicales; Brassicaceae
Description: long non-coding RNA (ALYR_LNC002718)
Source: RNAcentral